This 164-nucleotide small nuclear RNA is filed under the name Neodiprion lecontei (redheaded pine sawfly). RNAcentral's name for it is "U1 spliceosomal RNA". It matches the Rfam family "U1 spliceosomal RNA". From Rfam's summary of the family: U1 is a small nuclear RNA (snRNA) component of the spliceosome (involved in pre-mRNA splicing). Its 5' end forms complementary base pairs with the 5' splice junction, thus defining the 5' donor site of an intron. RNAcentral also lists the same sequence under 1 other name. Lineage: Eukaryota; Metazoa; Arthropoda; Insecta; Hymenoptera; Diprionidae. The record is from Rfam by way of RNAcentral.
UAACUUACUUGGCGCGGAGGACACCGUGAUCACCAAGGCGGUUCCUCCUAGGUGAGGCCCAGCCAUUGCACCCCGGCUAGGUUGACCCUUGCGAAUACUCCUAACGUGGGUAUAUCGAGCGCAAAAUUUUUGAUAGUCGGGAUCUGCGUUCGCGCUGUCCCGGA